GUGACUCCUCCUCUCCCCACAACCACCUCAAGCCCCCUAGGCCCACUCCUGAGAGAGCCGUGGUCCCGGAGCCCGAAUCACCAGCCUCCUCCUGCCUGGUAGGCCUCCCACACACUCCCUCCUGGCAAAAGACCCACUGGAAACACACAUCCCUUCUGGCGCUUGUGGAGAGUGUACUGCUGUGUUGUUUUGUUUUUAAUGUCAGCCGACACAUCGGCUGACUGACAAAUAAGGACAAGCCACUGAGAAAGAACUGUCAUCUGAAUGCCAAGAACAGAGGCUCUCACAACACGUUUAUUUCCAGAGCUCGACAAGCUUCCCUGUCUGCUGGAGUCCCUGGUUAACUGGGCCAGAGCUGUAGAUGGGAAAGUCAACCUGGACAAGCAAAAUGUCCACAGUGCCUCAUGCAACAGCCAAACCCUCCAUGGAAUACCUUAAUACCUGGCUAUUUGGGGCAAGUUAAGGAAAAGACUUGGGCCGAUAGCCAGGAAUGUAGGUUACAGAAACCUAACGUGAUAAAAAAAGAAAUACAUUACUAGAAAACUUAUGUAAUCAAACAAAAGAAAGGGCAGAGGUGAAGCUGGGCCUCCACCACAACAAACACUGGGAACUGGAAUUUCACUGACUCCCUGCCCUGCAUCUUCAUCUCUCUCUGUGUGUGGAUUUCUGACUUUACAUUCCCUUUAUUUCUUGCAUACAGUCGGGGAACAUGUGCUGGUUUGCCCAGAAGCACAUCUCCGUCCAUCUUCUACUGAAGACAGGAAGGACUGCUACAUAUGGUUGUGCAGGUUGUGUACUGCCCAACUCAUGGAAGCACCAUUUACAUCAUAGUCUCUGGCUGAGAAGCAGAGAUGUUGAGGAUGCUUGGCUGAACCCAGAAAACGCUUGAUGUUUUCCUAGCACAUCCUCUGGUACAGCAGAGUGACCCUGUGUUUUACCUUCUUGAGGGGGGUUUCAAAAAUCCCCAUUCUAAUCCUCAAAUGGUGGGCCCUUCUAAUAAAGACCUUUGUGACUAUCUCUGAAGGGCAACAUUUUGGCAGAACUUUUCCCUUCAAGCUUAAUGAGGUCAGGCAGAAGAUAAUUAAACUUGUGACAGGGAAGAAGAGAAAGGUUUGCAAGGAGUAGAGGGGCUUUCUGAGAAAAUUCAGCCCUUAACUCUAGGACCUCUGAUACUCAAACUCUCAAUUCUCAAAGUUAACUUCACAGCCAAAGGAUAGGCGCUUCCACCCUUUUCAUAGCUCUGGGAGAAGUCACCCAUCUUAGAGGUCUCUCAUCUCAUGAGGGGGUUGGAGGAUGUCACAUGCACAGGUCACCCCUCAGGGCCUCUGUGGUCUACCUGUGCUUGGGAUGCUUGGCCAAGACCCAGCUCCUUCCUGGGUGAGCUGACUGGGCAGGUACUACCCAGUGAGGCAGUGGGCGGAGAGCCUGCAGCCAGCGGUGAAAGGAAGAAGACUGAAGCUGGCAGAGCUGGGUCCUAUGUCCACCUGUCACCAUUGACAAAGGCUGCUUCCACCUGAAAUUAGCCAAUAUUUUUUUAGGAUGUUUAUAUCUACAAUCAUGAGUGUAUUGGCCUGUAAUUUACUUUUCUUUUACUGACCCUGUCUAAUUUGGGGGUCAUGAAAAUUUUGUGAACUAAGCACCGUUCCAUCUUUUUCUCCUAUCUGGGAGACUGUGUAAGGCUGCGAAGCUUUGUAGAAUUUAUCUAUAAAGACGCCUGGCUAUGAUGUUUUCUUUUUGGGGAGAUCAUUAACUACUGAUUCAAUCUUUAAAAGUGUUAUAAGAUUAUCCAGGUUUGCUAUUUUUCCUUAAGGCAAUUUGGUUAAAUAUUUUCUAGGAAUGUAUCACUUUAUCUAAAUUUUAAAUUUUACAAGCAAAAAGUCAAACAUAUUAUUCACUUUUUUACUUUCUGCUCCGACUAUACCAUGUCCCCUUUCUCACUCCUGAAAUUGUUUAGCUAUGUUGCUGUAAAUAUGGUUAUGCUCAAUUCUACCAUUUUAGUCUCUGUUCUUGUUAUUUCAUUGAUUUUAAUUUAUUUGGAUCAGUUCAACUGUCAUUUGUCUCAUCUUUCAAGCCCUCAGGAGCCAAGAGCAGACUGGGACACAUGGAAUUUUUCUUACAUUUCAGAAUUGAGUCCCUCUCCUGUUGCAACAAUGAGAGUGUCUCUUUCUUCUCUUGUCUCAGUAUUAAAGAUCCUCUAUUACAGACCGUGCAAUGAGAUGUCGAGAUAUUGCCCCAUCCAGUUCCUAACUUCUUCACACAUCAACACAUGCGUCCACUCCCCCACCCCUUCCCCCACUUCAGCUGCUGAGACUUCCUCUUCCUCCCUUUCCCUGAACAUCUUGCUAUUCCUCCUUUCUAUUUGAGUCCUUCAAAAUCCCACCAAGGCACAACACCUCCCAGAAGCCACAUUAUUUGGAAAUUGAUUGAAGUCUGACUCUACUCACAGCUCCAUAACUAGCCUCCGAGCUCCUUUAGGAUCCACGCUUCCUCACACUCAAGAUACAAAAUCAAGGAAGAAAGCAUCAUUUUCCCAGCUUGGGUCCCACAUCCAAUCCGUCGUCAGGGGAGGGCAGGACUCUCUCAGUGACACUCUCAACAAGACUGAAUUCAACAGGAAGAGUGAAUGCCAGAAGAAAAUCAGAGUGAAGGAGUAGAUAGGUCAAAACUACAGAUAUCCUAGCCAUUUAAUAUCCAGAGUCAUGUGAGAAUAGGCGGUUUGUUGGUCCUAGUUUUUCUAAGGGAGCCUCUAAAGUUUCUCCUUGAAACAUAAUGUUGUUGGCUGGUGAUGGUCUGGAUCACAUGAUGAAAAUAUCCCUUUAGUCCAAGUACUCCAAAAUAUACUUUUCUGAACAGUAAUAGAAAUUAAAUAUUAUCAAACACAUUUUCAAGCACCUAUUAAGUUGCUCUUAGAUUUGCUUUCCUGUUUGAAUUUAGAUUCUGAUACCUACUGUUAGGAGAGGCAGUCUGCCAUGGACCCUGAGCAUCUAUGUACAUUCCUGCUGGGUUUGCCAAGAAUGUAAGGCCCUGGCUGCUGUUUUCCUGGGCCGUCUCUUAGCGUCAUGUUUUGCAGUGAGUAACCUUGAGGGAUGAGGUAAAGUCUCCUCUCAGACUAACAGCAGGCUUACUUCUCUUUCCUUUAAAGAUGUUGAAUUCUGCAAGCUCACUGUCCUCUCCUGUAACACUGUAACACAGUGUGCGUGCAGGCAUUCAUCACGGGCCCUAUGCCAUCCCCAUGGGACUUGUGAGGCAUAAGAACCAACGUGAAUGUGAAGCUCCCUCUGCUUUGCCAUGAGUAACAGAGUCCUUGAACCCUGACUCAGGAAUUUCACGUCCUCUUCCAGCAGCCAUGAAACAAUAACAGGCUAACUCUUUAGCUUGAAAGUAGGGCUAACUCUCAGACUAUGCACAGUUCUUAACACAUAUUAACUGCAUGACCUUGGACAAGUCAAUUAAACUUUCUGAGCUUUUGUUUCCUCAUCAGCAAAGUGGACAACACUAGUGUUUACCUUUUAAGAUUGGUAUGAUGACUAAAUGGAUCAAAAUACCUGAAAUAUUGUGUUUUCUCAAAAAAUAUUAGACGCUAUACUUGUAUUCCCUGUAGUGUUGACAGAGGGGCAUGGCAGUGACAGAUGUCAUACUAUGACAAACACAGUUGAUCUGCCUCCGUGAACUUCACAUCUUCACACUGUUUUACUUUCUACAUAUAUUCCUGAGCAUAGUCUGCUAAUAUUUUCAUGCCUGGCUCCUUCUUUUCCAUCAGGUUUUAGAUUAAAUAUCUCCUCAGAGAGGCCCCUGCUGUCCUUGCUAAGUAGGUCCCCACUGUCAUUGUCUGCUAUACCAUCCUGCCCAUUUGCUUUGUAGCACUUGUCAUGAUUUUCAUGAUUGCAUUUGCUGACUCAUUUGUUUAUUAUCCCCACUAGAAUAUAACCGACAAAGUCAGAAACCACGUCUGUCUUCUUUAGUAUAUUUCCAAUGCUUAGCCCAGUCCCUGAUUUGAAGUAGCUGCUCAGUAGAUUUUUCUGGAUGGAUGGGAAUCUAGAUAAACAGAUUGAUGAGAGGAUAAAUGGAUGGAUGAGCAGAUGGAUGGAUGGAUGGAUGGACGGACGGACGGAUGAGGAAGCUGGUGCUCCAUAAACGUUUUCUGGAUAAAGGGAUGGAUGGAUGGGUGGGAUGGUUGGAAGAUGGAGGGAUGUUUGGAUACUUGGCAAGUCAGAUUUUCAGCUCCGAUCCUCUAGGGGGCGCAAAGGGACUGCAUGCGCAGGUUCGGCCCAGGGAGACACGGCUCUCCGCCGCAGCCUGAGCGCCAGCCGCAUUUCCUCCGGCGCAGGGCGGGUGGGGGCCGUGUCCUGAUCUUGUGGCUCCCGUCCCGAGCUGUCCCAAACCAUCCCGCAGCUUCUCGCGCCGUCCCUUCUGACCCGUCGCCGACAGUUCUGGCCCCUUGGGUGAGUCACUGCUGGACCACGUCGCACUGGAACCCCCGGCGGCCUCCAGGGCCGGAGCUGCGUCCCCCUGCCCCGACAGGAGGGGAAACUGAGGCCGUGCGGGGGCGGGGAGAGCGGCCAGUGGUCAGCUCCCAGCCCAGGCCCGCCCCGGUUCCGUGCCCGCCCCCUCGGCCGGGGUGGUCCUCUCGGGAUUCGUGUCCUCGAGAAAGGGGCCCGCAGGGCAGCCCCCGCUGCUCCGGAGCCGCGGGCGUGCGGUCCCCCGAUCUCAGCGCCCGGUGGGAGGACUCGUCCCGCUAACGGCGAGAGACGGGCCCGGCGACGCGUGGCCCGAGGGCCCGCAGGGCGCCGUGCGGAGCCCGGGUGAAGCGGGCCGGAGGGCGCCGAGCCCGCGAUCCUCUCCGCCCCACCUCCUCGCCUCCUGGCGUUCGAUCCCCCAGGGCCCCUCGGCGCUUCCUACCAGGCCCUGCGGCUGCCGAGCUCGCGGAGAGAUGGGACCUCGGCCUCGGACGGCUGAGCGGGCUCUGCGUCCGCCGGCGCCCCCUGCUCUCCUGCGGGGCUCUGACCCGCGCUGCCCGACGCGCCCUCCGUGUCCAGCGACUGAGGCUGUGCCCUGGCUCAGCGCCUGGUGGGGGUCCAGUGUUCACCAGUUGUGAACAAAUGCACAAGAGAGAAGAAAAGGAGAGACACAUCCUUGUAAGGUGGCAUGGCCUCAUCACGUUGUGGAAGAUCAGAGAAAGACUACGUGGGAGCCAACCAGAGGGAGAGGGGGCAGCUCGGUGCAGAGGGGCCCUUGAGAGGUGUCUCCAUCCUGUCAGGAAGCAGCUGGACCACAGUGCUCCCAAGAGGUGUCCACCCUUUCCUCUCCUGUCUGGGCCAAGUUGAAGGAAUUUUUCUGCAGGAUUGAAGCAAUUACGUGGUGCUGUGCUCAACUAGGCUGACUCCUCCAGGCCUCUGCCACUGGCCUCCUUUUUCAGCAAGCCCUCUGUCCUUUUCUGCCUCUGCAUUUGGAAGUGAUCACAGCUGCCCGUGUCCUGUUCAUUGAUGAGUCCACUGUGUGCCAAGGUGGUCAUGGGAGUUAUCAUGUCAGGAACAUUCUAGACCCCAGUGUCCUUGAGGGGUGCUGCUGUAGAUCUGGAGCUCGUUGGAGGAAGCCUCAAGGGGUUGGACGCACUGGCCCUCUCAGGAUGCUUACCUGGGUCCCAGUUCUCCUGGAGAGGCCUCCUCGUGAUUAUUUUGGAGUUCAUCACAGACACUGGUGUAGCAGAGUGAAGAGUGAUGUUGCCACAUGACACCUCGCCAGACCUUCUAACCCUGUUGUAUCAGCAAAACAUAGGAGGACUUUUCCCUCAGCGUGAGUGGAUACAUGAGGCUUAUGUCCAGAGCUGGCUCUGCCCUUCCCCAGCAGUGUCGCAGAGCGUCAUGGACCAAGAAGACUGGUUUCCUUUCGUCUGGGCCAGGUCAUUCAGUGGCCUCCAUGUCCCCCUGUCCUCCAGUGUAACUUUUUAGAGCCAAGAGUUUUCUGUGCUUUGUAUCCUUGUCCUCUCACCCACCAAAUAAAUCUUGAAACUGCCCCGUUGCUUGUUUUUUUGUUCUUUUUUUAAGCCAAUACCUCCCAGUGUCAGCAAGGCUGGAUACAGAGAAAGUGGGUCACAGGGUAGAUCUUCCGGUUUUCACGCACUGAGACUUCCCGCUUAGCACAGUGCGAAGCCUUGACCCAGGGGCUAGGAGGUGGGAUGUAGAAUUUGGACUAGGGGUUGAACAAUCC
This is a long non-coding RNA of Equus caballus (horse), 6207 nucleotides long. Lineage: Eukaryota; Metazoa; Chordata; Mammalia; Perissodactyla; Equidae. The record is from Ensembl.